AGCUCCAAUAGCGUAUGUUUAAGUUGUUGCAGUUAUAAAGCUCGUAGUUGGAUUUCGGGUGGGCUGCGUCGGUCUCCGUUCGGUUGUACUAGCGACGCCCGCCUUGCUGCCGGGGACGGGCUGCCUGCCUUAACUGUCGGGCACCCGGAGUCGGCGACGUUACUUUGAGUAAAUUAGAGUGUUCAAAGCAAGCCACCGCUCUGAAUAUAAUAGCAUGGGAUAACACGACAGGACUCCGGCCUAUCGUGUUGGUCUGUAGGACCAGAGUAAUGAUUAAGAGGGACAGUCGGGGGCAUCCGUAUUCCGUUGUCAGAGGUGAAAUUCUUGGAUUUACGGAAGACGAACAUCUGCGAAAGCAUUUGCCAAGGAUGUUUUCA
Molecule: ribosomal RNA, 377 nt
Filed under: uncultured eukaryote
Lineage: Eukaryota
Description: SSU rRNA
Rfam family: Eukaryotic small subunit ribosomal RNA
Source: RNAcentral